Molecule: ribosomal RNA, 492 nt
Filed under: Fusarium oxysporum
Lineage: Eukaryota; Fungi; Ascomycota; Sordariomycetes; Hypocreales; Nectriaceae
Description: eukaryotic LSU rRNA
Rfam family: 5.8S ribosomal RNA (bases 137-290)
Source: RNAcentral
CUCCCAAACCCCUGUGAACAUACCACUUGUUGCCUCGGCGGAUCAGCCCGCUCCCGGUAAAACGGGACGGCCCGCCAGAGGACCCCUAAACUCUGUUUCUAUAUGUAACUUCUGAGUAAAACCAUAAAUAAAUCAAAACUUUCAACAACGGAUCUCUUGGUUCUGGCAUCGAUGAAGAACGCAGCAAAAUGCGAUAAGUAAUGUGAAUUGCAGAAUUCAGUGAAUCAUCGAAUCUUUGAACGCACAUUGCGCCCGCCAGUAUUCUGGCGGGCAUGCCUGUUCGAGCGUCAUUUCAACCCUCAAGCACAGCUUGGUGUUGGGACUCGCGUUAAUUCGCGUUCCCCAAAUUGAUUGGCGGUCACGUCGAGCUUCCAUAGCGUAGUAGUAAAACCCUCGUUACUGGUAAUCGUCGCGGCCACGCCGUUAAACCCCAACUUCUGAAUGUUGACCUCGGAUCAGGUAGGAAUACCCGCUGAACUUAAGCAUAUCAAU